This 1362-nucleotide long non-coding RNA is filed under the name Cottoperca gobio. Its description in RNAcentral is "lncRNA (ENSCGOG00000017521.1)". Lineage: Eukaryota; Metazoa; Chordata; Actinopteri; Perciformes; Bovichtidae. The record is from RNAcentral.
CAUCUUAUUAUUAUGCUAACGUUAGCCUGCUAGCUUAAUACUUGUGGUUCUUGUGGAUGAAGUUUGUCAAAACCAACCGCCGAUGGUGGAACCCCACUUCCUGGUCUCUAAGCAGGAACGUCUUGCCCCAUUUGUUGCACUUAAAAGGCUUCUCUCUGUGGCAUGGCUCUCACCCGCGUGUCAUAUGAGGUUAACGUCCUUUAUAAAACGUUGAAGCUGAGGUUCUCCGCAGAAACAGCGGCAGCCUGACAGGAGGUGUACAUGUGCAGCAGCAGUCUGAUGAAGGGGUCUGACAGAAUAUUUCAUCUUGGCUCUGCUGCGGCUCCAUGUUGGGACUCCACUCCUGCUGAGGAAGGAACAUCUCUUCCUGACACUCCAGGGCCAUCUAUUAAACAUGAAGCAACAGUUUACUGACACAGACUUUGGGUAUUACUGAAGCUCUGGAGUAGAAAUAUGCUGAGUUUGACCUCUCGGUCUCAUUUAUGUCACUCUUCAUUAUCUCACUGUCUGUUCUUAUUGGAAGUCUUACAUGAGGAAAUCCUGUCGGUAAAAUAAAUCUCAAACAACAACUUGAACAUUUCCAGGAGAAAAAUAGUUCCUUUGGUUUGAAACAUUUAAAGUACAUUAGAACAAAAGACUUGGACUGGUUAAAGUCUGAUCUGCCUAUUUUAUUGACAUUUGUCUCAUUUUAAGGAUGCUUUUUGUCUGGUUGUUGCAGCCUGUGAUUCUAGUAUAAAGAUAUUUUUGUUUCAUAUUGUGAAUUUGAUUGCUGAAGAAGGUUAGUGACCUGAACGUUGAAUAUUGAACUUGGAUGUUUUUCCUCUGCACCUGACUACCACAACGUUGCCAGAUGCCACUCUCUCUUCACCGUGUAAUUCUAUAAAUGUCAUAAAACAAAAUACUAUAUAUAUUAAUAAAAAAAAUAUAGUAAUAAAAUAAAAUAUAGUCCAAAAAAAUAGAACCCAAGCUCAAAAGAAACUUUGAAUAUAUAGGCUGCUGGCUAAAUAAAUAAUUAUAAAAGCUACACACCGGUAUACAGAUGCAGAGCAGCUCUCUGGUCUCCUCUUGUUAAAUGCAUCCAUGUUGGUGCAUCACUGCCCCCCCCUACAGGUCAACAUAUUAAACGAACACUUCAAAAGAAAAAGAAUUCCCUUAGCAAUACACACAGCCCACUGGUUUUAUAAGCAACAUCAUUUAAUCUUAAAAUAAAAUAAAUCAUUGUGUUGGUUUACCUUCCAUAUAAAUAUAAAUAAAUAUGCAAAUUGCUAAAAACAAAUAUGUUUAUGCCCGACAAUGUUUUUAAGUAUUGAAUAUAUUGUAGCACUGAAAUAUUGAGUGUGGUCUGAAAUGUACAUGUGUAUA